This 537-nucleotide ribosomal RNA is filed under the name uncultured bacterium. RNAcentral's name for it is "partial 16S ribosomal RNA". It matches the Rfam family "Bacterial small subunit ribosomal RNA", at positions 355 to 889 of the family's 1533-position model. The record is from RNAcentral.
UGGGGAAUUUUGGACAAUGGGCGAAAGCCUGAUCCAGCAAUGCCGCGUGUGUGAAGAAGGCCUUCGGGUUGUAAAGCACUUUUGUCCGGAAAGAAAUCCUUGGCUCUAAUACAGUCGGGGGAUGACGGUACCGGAAGAAUAAGCACCGGCUAACUACGUGCCAGCAGCCGCGGUAAUACGUAGGGUGCAAGCGUUAAUCGGAAUUACUGGGCGUAAGCGUGCGCAGGCGGUUUGCUAAGACCGAUGUGAAAUCCCCGGGCUCAACCUGGGAACUGCAUUGGUGACUGGCAGGCUAGAGUAUGGCAGAGGGGGGUAGAAUUCCACGUGUAGCAGUGAAAUGCGUAGAGAUGUGGAGGAAUACCGAUGGCGAAGGCAGCCCCCUGGGCCAAUACUGACGCUCAUGCACGAAAGCGUGGGGAGCAAACAGGAUUAGAUACCCUGGUAGUCCACGCCCUAAACGAUGUCAACUAGUUGUUGGGAUCAUUCCUUAGUAACGUAGCUAACGCGUGAAGUUGACCGCCUGGGGAGUACGGUCGC